GGGCGUGUACCCAAGUGGACAAAGGGGGCGGGCUGUAAACCCGCUGGCGAAGCCUUCCCAAGUUCGAAUCCUGGCGCGCCCA
Molecule: transfer RNA, 82 nt
Filed under: Planctomycetota bacterium
Lineage: Bacteria; Pseudomonadati; Planctomycetota
Also listed under: 1 other name
Description: tRNA-Tyr
Rfam family: tRNA
About the family: Transfer RNA (tRNA) molecules are approximately 80 nucleotides in length. Their secondary structure includes four short double-helical elements and three loops (D, anti-codon, and T loops).
Source: RNAcentral